This 73-nucleotide transfer RNA is filed under the name Gemmatimonadaceae bacterium. RNAcentral's name for it is "tRNA-Leu". Lineage: Bacteria; Pseudomonadati; Gemmatimonadota; Gemmatimonadia; Gemmatimonadales; Gemmatimonadaceae. The record is from RNAcentral.
GCCGCCGUAGACCAAUAGAAGAGUCAGCGUCCUCAGAAGGCGUGUAGUGGUGGUGCAAGUCCACUCGGCGGUA